Molecule: ribosomal RNA, 481 nt
Filed under: uncultured bacterium
Lineage: Bacteria
Description: bacterial SSU rRNA
Rfam family: Bacterial small subunit ribosomal RNA
Source: RNAcentral
GACGAACGCUGGCGGCGUGCCUAACACAUGCAAGUCGAACGGAGAUAUGAUUUCGGUUGUAUCUUAGUGGCGAACGGUGAGUAACGCGUGAACAACCUGACUCUAAGAGGGGGAUAACACUCGGAAACGGGUGCUAAUACCGCAUAAGACCACGACCUGGCAUCAGGAUGAGGUCAAAGGAGCAAUCCGCUGAGAGAGGGGUUCGCGUCCCAUUAGAUAGAUGGCGGGGUAACGGCCCACCAUGUCAACGAUGGGUAGCCGAGCUGAGAGGCUGAUCGGCCACACUGGAACUGAGACACGGUCCAGACUCCUACGGGAGGCAGCAGUGGGGAAUAUUGGGCAAUGGGCGCAAGCCUGACCCAGCAACGCCGCGUGAGGGAAGAAGGCUUUCGGGUUGUAAACCUCUGUCCUUGGUGACGAAACAAAUGACGGUAGCCAAGGAGGGAGCCCCGGCUAACUACGUGCCAGCAGCCGCGGUAAU